This 1487-nucleotide ribosomal RNA is filed under the name uncultured Bordetella sp. RNAcentral describes it as "partial 16S-23S ribosomal RNA intergenic spacer". It matches the Rfam family "Bacterial small subunit ribosomal RNA". The record is from RNAcentral. Lineage: Bacteria; Pseudomonadati; Pseudomonadota; Betaproteobacteria; Burkholderiales; Alcaligenaceae.
GUAACAGAGAGAGUUCGAUUAUGGCUCAGAUUGAACUGGCGGGAUGCUUUACACAUGCAAGUCGAACGGCAGCACGGACUUUGGUCUGGUGGCGAGUGGCGAACGGGUGAGUAAUGUAUCGGAACGUGCCUAGUAGCGGGGGAUAACUACGCGAAAGGUAGCUAAUACCGCACACCCUUCGGGGGAAAGCGGGGACCUUCGGGCCUCGCACUAUUAGAGCGGCCGAUAUCGGAUUAGCUAGUUGGUGGGGUAACGGCUCACCAAGGCGACGAUCCGUAGCUGGUUUGAGAGGACGACCAGCCACACUGGGACUGAGACACGGCCCAGACUCCUACGGGAGGCAGCAGUGGGGGGAAUUUUGACAAUGCGGGGAAAUCCCCGAUCCAGCCAUCCUGGCGUGUGCGAUGAAGGCCUCGGGUUGUAAAGCACUUUUGGCAGGAAAAGAAACGGCACGGGAUAAUACCCCGUGCAACUGAUUGUGUUCGCAGAAUAAGUACCGGCUAACUACGCCAGCAGCCGCGGUAAUACGUAGGGUGCGUUAAUCGACAUUGGGCGUAAGCGUGCAGGCGGUUCGGAAAGAAAGAUGUGAAAUCCCAGAGCUUAACUUUGAACUGCAUUUUUUAACUACCGAGCUAGAGUGUGUCAGGAGGGAGGUGUGGAAUUCCGCGUGUAGCAGUGAAAUGCGUAGAUAUGCGGAGGAACACCGAUGGCGAAGGCAGCCUCCUGGGAUAACACUGACGCUCAUGCACGAAAGCGUGGGGAGCAAACAGGAUUAGAUACCCUGGUAGUCCACGCCCCAAACGAUGUCAACUAGCUGUUGGGGCUCUCUGGGCCUUGGUAGCGCAGCUAACGCGUGAAGUUGAAUUUCCUGCCUGGGGGCAUGGUCGCAAGAUUAAAACUCAAAGGAAUUGACGGGGACCCGUACAAGCGGUGGAUGAUGUGGAUUAAUCUCGAUGCAACGCGAAAACCUUACCUACCCUGACAUGUCUGGAAUCCCGGAAGAGAUUUGGGAGUGCUCGCAAGAGAACCGGAACACAGGUGCCGUAUGUUGUCAGCUCUUGCUCUCCGUGAGAUGUUAAGUCCUGCAACGAGCGCAACCCUUGUCAUUAGUUGCUACGAAAGGGCACUCUAAUGAGACUGCCGGUGACAAACUGGAGGGGAAGGUGAUGACGUCAAGUCCCCGCGGCUCCGCGGGUAGGGCUUCAGCCGUCAUACAAUGGCUCUGGACAGAGGGUCGUACAACCCGCGGAGGGGAGCCAAUCCCAGAAACCCGAUCGUAGUCCGAUCGCAGUUCGCAACCUGGACUGCGUGAAGUCGGAAUCGCUAGUAAUCGCGGAUCAGCAUGUCGCGGUGAAUACGUUCCCGGCCUUGUACACACUGCCCGUCACACCAUGGGGAGUGGGUUUUACCAGAAGUAGUUAGCUCAACGUAAGGAGGGCGAUUACUACGGUAGGAUUCAUGACUGGGGUGAAGUCGUGGCAAGGUAG